This 72-nucleotide transfer RNA is filed under the name Ovis aries (sheep). It matches the Rfam family "tRNA". From Rfam's summary of the family: Transfer RNA (tRNA) molecules are approximately 80 nucleotides in length. Lineage: Eukaryota; Metazoa; Chordata; Mammalia; Artiodactyla; Bovidae. The record is from Rfam by way of RNAcentral.
UCCCCAGUGGCUUUGAUGGUAAAGCAUCUGUCUGCAUUGCGGGAGACCCAGGUUUGAUCCCUGGGUUGGGAA